This is an RNA transcript of Tigriopus californicus, 2109 nucleotides long. It is a transcript of the gene named ras-like protein, with no coding region annotated. Lineage: Eukaryota; Metazoa; Arthropoda; Copepoda; Harpacticoida; Harpacticidae. The record is from RefSeq and is a predicted model, not a curated record. The transcript has 5 exons.
GGCAUAUUCUGGUUUUGAUCUGACAUGUUCCGGCAUGUUCCAAGCCCACCCACCUGUCAACACUGAUUGCAGCCUAUGUUCUCAGUUUAGAUUCUUCGUGCAACGUCCAUACAAUAUGACCGAAUAUAAAUUAGUCGUCGUCGGCGCUGGAGGCGUGGGGAAGAGUGCCCUGACAAUUCAGUUGAUCCAAAAUCACUUCGUGGAUGAAUACGACCCAACCAUCGAGGACUCCUACCGGAAACAAGUGGUCAUCGAUGGUGAGACGUGUCUGUUGGAUAUUCUGGACACAGCCGGCCAAGAGGAAUACAGCGCCAUGCGGGACCAAUACAUGAGAACAGGCGAGGGAUUCCUCCUUGUGUUCGCCGUGAAUAAUGCCAAAUCCUUUGAAGAUAUUUCCACAUACCGAGAGCAGAUCAAGAGGGUCAAGGACGCAGAAGAGGUUCCCAUGGUUUUGGUGGGCAACAAAUGCGACCUUCCUACCCGAAACGUAGACAUGGGUCAAGCCAAAGAAGUGGCCAAGAGCUACGGAAUCCCAUUCAUUGAAACCAGCGCUAAAACGCGAAUGGGCGUAGACGAUGCUUUUUACACCUUGGUUAGGGAAAUCCGGAAAGAUCGUCUUUCGGGUGUUAAAACCAAAAAGAAAAAGAAAUGCAUCCUAAUGUAAGGGGUGUGGCGGCCCCAAAAAGUGCGUCAUGUCUCCUCAACCCUAGGAAUGAAUUCCGUUAGAUCCCGAGUGAAAGAGAAGAAAGGCAAUCAUCCUCGCCCUCAGAUUGGUGCAAAAUGCUGCAGUAGAUGUCUCCUACUCUAAAUCAACAGCCUCAAUCAGCAUCAUUGGCAUCAACCAUUAAUCUAUACUUAUAUACAUAAUCGAAUCGUGAUUGGUGACUUAAAGGACCGAACAUAAAGACUUAUCAACUUCGAACAGAUGACCGGCGUUCUUGCGAAAACAUUGAUUGACUUCGUCCAUUUCCAAACGGGUAAUCCACAAACCCGUUCAAAUAUCCCUCAAAUCAACACCCCCUGCCCCAACCACCUCGCCCCGCCCUGCCCUCCCCUGAGGUACUUCGAGCCUCACACCCUGCCCCCUUUUGAUCUUUGUUUUCCAUUGGAUCCCCAUGGACGAAAUGGAGGUCGCAAGCUAAAACGUUCAAAACAGUUCAGUCGCUGUGCUCGUGUUUUCCAAGUCACCAAACCUCAGUUGUUCAUUGCCCAUCGAUCGUGUUUCGCCCAAGAAUGUCAAUGUGUGAGAAAAAAGGCUUGACGCCCACAAAGUCUUCUACAGAUAGUGAUGAUGUUAAAAAUACUAGAGGCAGUGCUCUGUCUUUCGUCGUCAAGCAUUUUAGUGGGUGAUCAUGAAAGGAUCAUAAGAAUAAGAUUACAUCUUAAUAAUUAUCUGUGAGUAAAAUGAACGAUCAAUCGGUUCGCAAUGAAAAUGGAAAUGAAAGUUUAGGCUUUACUAUUUGAUUAACGUUCACGCCCCCUCGAUUGGCAUAAUCUAGCACAACCAAGCACAAUGUUGAAAGAAGUAGGCGCCUCUAACACCAUCAAAAAAUAACUCUAAAUGAAGCUCCUUAGAGGUGAACUUUAUUGCUGCCCGUGUGCCAUUAUCAUGAGAACAACAUCCGUUUACUUCAAUAACAAAAAAUUAGAUCGAACCAAGUCCCUUUGAGGAGACUUGUCUAUCCCACUUCGAAGAUUAAAUCAUUGCUCGUGGAAACUACAGCUUUAGAGGGUUGAUCCCCCACUCCCCAAGUUCUGCCCAUAGUGUCACCGAUCACCGCCCUCCACCCUCUUUCUCCUCCCGACCCUUUCUCACUUUGUCUGUUCUCUGCCCCGCCCAAAAUCAUAGUUUGUAUUUCGUCUAUGUCCAUGUCAGAGGACGUUGAUUCAAAUGCCUACAUUUUUUUUUUUCGAAGACCACGAUAGAAUUAUUCUCCAAGCGUCGUAUCAAAAAUAAAUCAGUCUGCGUGUGUAUCCACUUGGUACGUUUCAUACCAAGAGAAACGUUUUUUUUUUCUUUUCCGAUUUUGUACCAAGGAUUCUUUCCCGUUCGAUCCUUGAUGACGUCAUUAUGGAACGAGCACAAAAUAUACGCAUGUCAACAACUCA